RNAcentral lists this ribosomal RNA (498 nucleotides) under uncultured bacterium. RNAcentral describes it as "partial 16S ribosomal RNA". It matches the Rfam family "Bacterial small subunit ribosomal RNA", at positions 29 to 523 of the family's 1533-position model. The record is from RNAcentral.
AUUGAACGCUGGCGGCAUGCUUUACACAUGCAAGUCGAACGGUAACAGGCCGCAAGGUGCUGACGAGUGGCGAACGGGUGAGUAAUGCAUCGGAACGUGCCCAGUCGUGGGGGAUAACGCAGCGAAAGCUGCGCUAAUACCGCAUACGAUCUAUGGAUGAAAGCGGGGGACCGUAAGGCCUCGCGCGAUUGGAGCGGCCGAUGUCAGGUUAGGUAGUUGGUGGGGUAAAGGCUCACCAAGUCGACGAUCUGUAGCUGGUCUGAGAGGACGACCGGCCACACUGGGACUGAGAAACGGCCCAGACUCCUACGGGAGGGAGAAGUGGGGAAUUUUGGACAAUGGGGGCAACCGUGAUCCAGCAAUGCCGCGUGCAGGAAGAAGGCCUUCGGGUUGUAAACUGCUUUUGUACGGAACGAAACGGCUCUGGUUAAUACCCGGGGCUAAUGACGGUACCGUAAGAAUAAGCACCGGCUAACUACGUGCCAGCAGCCGCCGUAA